CUGGAUGCAACCCUACAGCAGCAAGGAAAUUGGUGAGGCACAAUAUUAAUGAUUUUCUUUUUGAUUGCUCGUUGCUGGUGAUUUUAUCAAACGGUUCAUCGUCAAAUAUAUUAGAACCACAAAGCACGAACCUGGUACAGGGGCUGAAUCGUUGUCGCACCUAACAAAUAAAUGUAGGCAAACCUUGAAGCACUGCACGGGUAAACAUGCAUCAUUACAACAGUUGCAAAAGAAGACAUAGGCGGAUGAACAAAACUCUUCUGAAGACAUAAGCAGGAGAAGCAAGAAGAGGAGCAUUCGUCAAUUUUCUUUUUGAAAAGUACAACAUGAUUAUUAUUGCUGAUAGGAAUCAAUUAAAAUGAAGGCACA
This 369-nucleotide long non-coding RNA is filed under the name Gossypium raimondii (Peruvian cotton). RNAcentral's name for it is "long non-coding RNA (GRAI_LNC000734)". Lineage: Eukaryota; Viridiplantae; Streptophyta; Magnoliopsida; Malvales; Malvaceae. The record is from RNAcentral.